GAUGAACGCUGGCGGCGUGCCUAAUACAUGCAAGUCGAGCGAACGGACGAGAAGCUUGCUUCUCUGAUGUUAGCGGCGGACGGGUGAGUAACACGUGGAUAACCUACCUAUAAGACUGGGAUAAUUUCGGGAAACCGUAGCUAAUACCGGAUGAUAUUUUGAACCGCAUGGUUCAAAAGUUAAAUACGGUCUUGCUGUCACUUAUAGAUGGAUCCGCGCUGCAUUAGCUAGUUGGUAAGGUAACGGCUUACCAAGGCAACGAUGCAUAGCCGACCUGAGAGGGUGAUCGGCCACACUGGAACUGAGACACGGUCCAGACUCCUACGGGAGGCAGCAGUAGGGAAUCUUCCGCAAUGGGCGAAAGCCUGACGGAGCAACGCCGCGUGAGUGAUGAAGGACUUCGGAUCGUAAAACUCUGUUAUUAGGGAAGAACAUAUGUGUAAGUAACUGUGCACAUCUUGACGGUACCUAAUCAGAAAGCCACGGCUAACUACGUG
This 497-nucleotide ribosomal RNA is filed under the name uncultured bacterium. Its description in RNAcentral is "partial 16S ribosomal RNA". It matches the Rfam family "Bacterial small subunit ribosomal RNA", at positions 28 to 507 of the family's 1533-position model. The record is from RNAcentral.